Molecule: unclassified non-coding RNA, 380 nt
Filed under: soil metagenome
Description: partial contains 5.8S ribosomal RNA, internal transcribed spacer 2, and large subunit ribosomal RNA
Rfam family: 5.8S ribosomal RNA (bases 3-120)
Source: RNAcentral
GGUGAAGAACGCAGCGAAAUGCGAUAAGUAAUGUGAAUUGCAGAAUUCAGUGAAUCAUCGAAUCUUUGAACGCACCUUGCGCUCCUUGGUAUUCCGAGGAGCAUGCCUGUUUGAGUGUCAUUAAUAUAUCAACCUCUUCAGCUUAUGCUUGUUGAGUGUUGGAUGGUGGGGGUUUGCUGGUGUCUUAUGAAGUCAGCUCCUCUGAAAUGCAUUAGCGGAACAAUUUGUUGACCGUUCAUUGGUGUGAUAAAAAUAUCUACGCUAUUGACGUCAGUCAGUUCAGCUUCUAACAGUCCAUUGACUUGGACAAAUUUUUCAUUAAUGUGACCUCAAAUCAGGUAGGACUACCCGCUGAACUUAAGCAUAUCAUAAGCGGAGGA